This is a non-coding RNA of Agelaius phoeniceus (red-winged blackbird), 3718 nucleotides long. NCBI's taxonomy places the organism in Eukaryota, Metazoa, Chordata, Aves, Passeriformes, Icteridae. The record is from RefSeq and is a predicted model, not a curated record.
CCCUCAUCAAAGAUGGCUGUGGGCAGCGCCGCUGGUCACUAGGCUCCUGCCGCUCGGUCCUCGCCGGACUUCGCGGCCGACAUGGCGGCCGCUGAGCUGGAGUACGAGUCCGUUCUCUGCGUGAAGCCCGAUGUCAACGUCUACCGCAUCCCGCCGCGCACCUCCAACCGCGGGUACAGGGCGUCUGACUGGAAACUGGACCAUCCAGACUGGACAGGGCGGCUUCGUGUCACCUCCAAAGGCAAAACCGCUUACAUAAAACUGGAGGAUAAGGUUUCAGGAGAACUUUUUGCCCAGGCUCCUAUAGAUCAAUACCCUGGCAUUGCAGUGGAGACUGUGGCAGAUUCCAGCCGCUACUUUGUCAUUCGAAUUCAGGAUGGGACCGGACGAAGUGCUUUUAUAGGCAUUGGCUUCACAGAUCGGGGUGAUGCUUUUGACUUCAACGUCUCUUUGCAGGAUCACUUCAAGUGGGUGAAGCAGGAGACUGAAAUCUCCAAGGAGUCCCAGGAAGCUGACACACGUCCCAAAUUAGACUUAGGGUUUAAGGAAGGGCAGACCAUCAAACUAAACAUUGGGAACAUGACAUCAAAGAAAGGAGGAGCAGCCAAGCCCCGUGUGUCUGGAUCAGGGGGCCUAAGCCUGCUGCCACCCCCACCGGGAGGCAAAAUUGCAGUUCCUCCCAUACCUCCCCCUUCCUCCACAGCCAUUGCCAACCAUGUCACACCACCACCUGUGCAGAAAUCCAGUAAUGCAAGCAGUGCAGAUAUUCUUUUAGAUUUAGAUGCUCCUGCAGCUGCAUCCAAGGCACCAGUAUCUGCUACCACAGACCUCUGGGGAGACUUCAGCACUGCAUCCAGUGCUGUUCCCAAUCAGGCUCCUCAGCAGUCCAACUGGGUCCAGUUCUGAAUGAUCAAAGCAGUGGAAUGGGACAAAUUGAUGACCUAGAGGCACCAAAUGGGAUCAGAGAGGGCACAAACCUCUCUAGUCUUCAAUCAAAUUGGGACAAUCCUUCAUUUUUAGAUCAGAUCUUCACUUAAACUUAGUAUUUUUGAUCCCACUGAACCUAAAGAGAACAUACAGACUCCUCCCAAGAUGGGCAAGGAGAAGAGAGGUAGCCUUAUCCCUCUAUCUACUUGCCAUUACAUGGUACAUCCUAGCUCUUUUUUCCUGUCUUUCCAUACAGGGAAAGCAAGAAUCUUGAAGAAAGUGGGUACAGGAGGAGGCUGGCAUCUAGGUUGAAGGUCUUCAUGUCUCCAGCAAGAUCCUCACAGCCUACUUACCCUUCUGCAUAUCUGUUGUGGCCUGCAGACUGAACAAGAGCAACUUCAGGAGUGAUGGGUUCAGGCUCUGUCUGGGCAAAGAGAGCCAUGCAGCAACUGUUCUUACCACAGCCACACAGACACAAACCUGCCAGAUUUCACAAAGCCUUGAUGCUGUGUUUGGACUCCUGAAGAAAUGGAGAGGAAGGGCUGUACAUUGGAGGAAAUCAAACAAAAACCAAACAGGAAACCAAAACCCCCAAAGUCUUCCUGAGCUUUGAUAAUGAGUCCCCCCAUUCCCCCUUCAAGAGAGGGAGAUCACAUGCAUUCACCUCACUGGGCAGAGAGUAGCCAAACAGAAUUCAAGGCUGUGGAGAUCUGUGCAAUCCUUAGAACUGGAAAUGAAGCAUGAAGAAUUGCUUCUGUGGAGAGGUGUUAUGUGACCACAACUUGUGCGUGUGAAUUCCACAUGCCCACUCUAAGAAGAUAAACUUCACAGCCCCACCUCUGAAAACAGGCCACUGGGGUCUGAGCAGGACUUGGAUCUGGCCCAGGCUUGAAGUCAAAUAUGAUGCUGUGGCAAGCAAUUGCAGUAUCUGGUUCUGAUCUCCAACAUAGCCUUGAGACUUAUGACUCCAAUCCAAAAGAGGAAGGAGACAAAAGUGCAAUGUUCCAGUAAUGGCAUAAAACAAAGCUCUGAGGUAAUUUCAUCUGAAUGUGCCCUCUGUUGGCUUUGAUUUGGUAAUCCGUUAAUUUGGGGAAAAUAAAUAAAUAAAACAUAUUUUUGCUCUUCUGAAGAAAAUCCUCUGUUAAUGCUACAUGUAAAGAGGCAGAUUGGGGCUUCUUGUCUCUUUGAAGAUUCUCUGGAUCAUGUUCUUCCUUCUCUUAUUCCUUCCCUUACACCUGAGGGAUUUUGGUAACCUGUCAUCAUGCUAGAGUGGGCACAUGACUUUCCCUUCGUAAUUCGCACUGAGUUUGAGCUCCCUCAGCUCAGGUAACUUUGGGACAUGAUCUCUUCUGCUUGAAAUCCUCAGCACUUACUAAAAUUUGGCAGAGAUAUGGCCAGGGGAGAAAUGUACAAGCUGUUUUGGGGAGGAACAUUUCUUUUUAUCACUCCUACUUUUGUUCCCCUGUGUUGUGCAUGGUACUGUAACCAUAGCAUUGUCUUUCUGCCAGCUCAGGCCUGCCUGUGGUGAGGUGCUGCCACCUGCCAGAAACUUGUGUGGUUUUACAGUGCUACUUCUGUUUCAUCCAUCCCACUUAUUGCUCUCACUCCCCUUUCCCACUGUCCAUUCAGUACUUCCCUUUUUCCUCUUCAUCCCUGGAUGCUCAAAUGUCUUUUUCCUGUGCUUUCACAGCUCCAUAGAAGCCAUUUUUUUCCUUGGUCUCUUAGCAACCUGUAUGGAACCCUGGUUCACCUUCUAUGAUUAGAGGGUUUGACUGGAGGUCUCUUCUCCCUGCAGCUCUGGCCUGUGUCAGCCUUGGCUGAGAAGGGCUUAGGGUGCCUUUCUCUCAGAUCCCAGGAGGCUGCUGUGCUCCCACACUAUCCCCUGGAGCAGUAUGAACUGCAGCAUCCUACCCCUCCCCUCCCUCCCUAACCAGUUCCAUGCAGCAGGGUACACAAUGGGAUCACCUGUUGCUAGACUCUCUCUAACCACUCAAAUCCCUCAGGAGCUCUCAAGGAGCUCUGGCUGCCUGAAUUCCUUUGAUUUGUUAUUUGACAUCCCUUAUUUUACUGCUCAGUGUCAGGCCUUGGGUCCUCAUUCUCUGUGUUCCAGUGCAUUUUUAUGCUCUUCCCUUGGCUGCUCUGCUCCAUAGCCUUAAUCCCUGAAAAGGAGCAAGGUGAUGUGGAGAGGGAGGACCAAGAAGGUGGCAUAUAUUCACUUCUGGUGCUCUUCUCACCCAGGUGCAGGGAUAUAAAGCAUGGAUUUGGUUUAGGCUUUUAUCUAAGUGAAUUGGAAGUCUGUGCUAGCUACAGGUGCCAUAAGAGUAGGUGAUGCCAAGACUGUAGGCAAAGACCCACAACAGGCAGGAUUUCUUUACAAGAGUUAUAUUGACUCUCCUCAAAGUCCAUCACACUUACACACAUGUCUAUCCAUUAAUUCUUUUGUUAUAUUAACCUGACCACUGGAGAUGUCAAACCUUUAACUUCCUAAAUCUCCCUGAGACUUCUCCCCUUCUCCUUCUUUGAUAUGUUCCCUCCCAGUCUGAGAUUUGCUGAUAAAAAGAUAGUUUAAGGCAAAAGGUGACCCCUGAUAUUAGCAACUGUUUCACCUUUGAAUUUCCUGAGAAUCCCUGGGACCAUCUUGCCCAGGCCUGCUAAUUGCAUGCAUUUUGUACAAUCAAUAUUUUAUUUUGGACAGAUCCUUUGAUUUAGUCCUCCACAAACCAGGGUUCUUGUGUGUGAAUUUCACCAAUUUAUUCCAUUGUGACAAAUAAUUAUUUUAGCUUUGUUUUGA